ACCACUUUAAAGGAAUCUGGAGCUGAUGACUCAAGAAAUGUCCUUCCUCCUAAGAAAUUAUCCUCCCAUCUGAGAUUAGCAGCAUCUAAUCUCAGUUUUCUCCACUGCUGACCAGCAUCAGCAACACAGUUCUAGUCCUGUUUUGGGUAUCAAAUCCAAAUCCUGUAAGCAAAAGGUCAAGGAUUCAGAAGUGAAAGGAAAGACUGUGGCUCUAACUUUGCCAAAGUGAAAAGUACAGACCUCUGCCAUCAGUGAAGAAAGAACCCAGAUCUGAUAAGAGCUUCAAACAGGCUCAGCACCUCCUGGCACACAUAGAGCGGCAUCACGUUGCCCCAAGAAAAUCACAUCUCUACACAUCAGACCCUUUCCAGUCCAUUUUGCCCCAUCCACAAAAUGAAAAUGCCACUUUAUUUACUAAAUCUAAAAAUUCUGUUGGGAGGCAAAGGAGAGUU
RNAcentral lists this long non-coding RNA (452 nucleotides) under Homo sapiens (human). Its description in RNAcentral is "HSALNT0371098". Lineage: Eukaryota; Metazoa; Chordata; Mammalia; Primates; Hominidae. The record is from RNAcentral.